This is a long non-coding RNA of Sebastes umbrosus (honeycomb rockfish), 391 nucleotides long. RefSeq lists it as uncharacterized. The transcript is spliced from 3 exons. The record is from RefSeq and is a predicted model, not a curated record. Lineage: Eukaryota; Metazoa; Chordata; Actinopteri; Perciformes; Sebastidae.
AUGAGAAAAUAUAUUGGAUUCCUUCCCCAAUGCCAUAUUUUGCAUGGAAGUCACCAUUUCGCCUGUGAAAUAUGACUGAAAGUGAUUGCAAAGCUUUCAGUGCUGGUCAUGUGAUCACAUCAUAUCUUCCCUCUUCCCACUCCUCGAGGGACUUCAGUGACUGACAUGGAGAUUUAUGACUGGCCUGAUGGAGGAAGAUCAAGUUAGGGUCAGAACAAGCGUGAAACUGGAUUAUGAAUUAUGUUCUCCGAUUCCAAAAGUUGAGUGUACUUCAUCAGUCAUCACUAAUGAAGGGACACCCAGACAUCUAAGAACAAAGACAGUCACCUACAUUGUGCUACUAGCCUCUACCUUUUACCACCCGUUAUAAAUCACAAUAAAGCAGCUAUUU